CUGCUGUCAAUCUAUCUACCACUGUCAAUCUAUCUAUCACUGUCAAUCUAUCUAUCACUGCUAAUCUAUCACUGCUAAUCUAUCACUGCUAAUCUAUCACUGCUAAUCUAUCACUGC
This 117-nucleotide small RNA is filed under the name Histoplasma capsulatum. Its description in RNAcentral is "hypothetical RNA". The record is from RNAcentral. Lineage: Eukaryota; Fungi; Ascomycota; Eurotiomycetes; Onygenales; Ajellomycetaceae.